Molecule: long non-coding RNA, 762 nt
Organism: Nerophis ophidion (straightnose pipefish)
Lineage: Eukaryota; Metazoa; Chordata; Actinopteri; Syngnathiformes; Syngnathidae
Exons: 4
Source: RefSeq, a predicted model, not a curated record
UUCAGAUGGGUUUAUUUCAAGUGUGUGACUAAUGGUACCUGAUCAACUGCUCCUGGGAAAGGUCGAUAGAGAAGUCGGUGAUACUCAGACGUGACAGCGACUUCCUGCUGACUGCAGUCACACCAACAAAUGUUCGGCAGAGCUUUCUUUGGGCUUGUUUCCACUGAAGUUGUGGAUCAAUUUGGCGAACGCUCGUUUCUGGUCCAAGAGCUCAGCGUACGAACCCAUCUCAGAGAUGUGACCGUCUUCCAUCACCACGACCAAAUCCACCUUCGGCAGCAGACUGAGGCUAAGUCCUUUGGGUCCGAGGACUCGGUCGAAGAUAUGCUGCCCCACAUGAGUGUCGACGGCGGACAGUGGGUCAUCCAGCAGACAGGUUGAGUCCCUGCACCCAAUCAUCACGCCGUCAUCAGCAGCCCAUCGUGUGAAUUAGUGAAUUAUGUUUAUAUAGCGCUUUUCUCGAGUGACUCAAAGCGCUUUACAUAGUGAAACCCAAUAUCUAAGUUACAUUUAAACCAGUGUGGGUGACACCGGGAGCAGGUGGGUAAAGGGUGAAGUGAAGUGAAGUGAAUUAUAUUUAUAUAGCGCUUUUCUCUAGUGACUCAAAGCGCUUUACAUAGUGAAACCCAAUAUCUAAGUUACAUUUAAACCAGUGUGGAUGGCACUGGGAGCACGUGGGUAAAGUGUCUUGCCCAAGGAAUGAUCCAUCACAUGGCUGGAUUACUUGUAACACAUCAAAUAAAAACUUUUAAUCUCCAAAAA